This 660-nucleotide ribosomal RNA is filed under the name uncultured bacterium. RNAcentral describes it as "bacterial SSU rRNA". It matches the Rfam family "Bacterial small subunit ribosomal RNA", at positions 50 to 697 of the family's 1533-position model. The record is from RNAcentral.
AACACAUGCAAGUCGAGGGGAAACGAUAUUGGAAGCUUGCUUCCGAUAGGCGUCGACCGGCGCACGGGUGAGUAACGCGUAUCCAACCUGCCCACCACUUGGGGAUAACCUUGCGAAAGUAAGACUAAUACCCAAUGAUAUCUCUAGAAGACAUCUGAAAGAGAUUAAAGAUUUAUCGGUGAUGGAUGGGGAUGCGUCUGAUUAGCUUGUUGGCGGGGUAACGGCCCACCAAGGCAACGAUCAGUAGGGGUUCUGAGAGGAAGGUCCCCCACAUUGGAACUGAGACACGGUCCAAACUCCUACGGGAGGCAGCAGUGAGGAAUAUUGGUCAAUGGACGAGAGUCUGAACCAGCCAAGUAGCGUGCAGGAAGACGGCCCUAUGGGUUGUAAACUGCUUUUAUAAGGGAAUAAAGUUAGUCUCGUGAGACUUUUUGCAUGUACCUUAUGAAUAAGGACCGGCUAAUUCCGUGCCAGCAGCCGCGGUAAUACGGAAGGUCCGGGCGUUAUCCGGAUUUAUUGGGUUUAAAGGGAGCGUAGGCCGGAGAUUAAGCGUGUUGUGAAAUGUAGAUGCUCAACAUCUGCACUGCAGCGCGAACUGGUUUCCUUGAGUACGCACAAAGUGGGCGGAAUUCGUGGUGUAGCGGUGAAAUGCUUAGAUAU